This 479-nucleotide ribosomal RNA is filed under the name Cyanocystis violacea. Its description in RNAcentral is "bacterial SSU rRNA". It matches the Rfam family "Bacterial small subunit ribosomal RNA", at positions 344 to 837 of the family's 1533-position model. The record is from RNAcentral. Lineage: Bacteria; Bacillati; Cyanobacteriota; Cyanophyceae; Pleurocapsales; Dermocarpellaceae.
GGAGGCAGCAGUGGGGAAUUUUCCGCAAUGGGCGAAAGCCUGACGGAGCAAUACCGCGUGAGGGAGGAAGGCUUUUGGGUUGUAAACCUCUUUUAAUAAGGAAGAAGAAAGUGACGGUACUUAUUGAAUAAGCAUCGGCUAACUCCGUGCCAGCAGCCGCGGUAAUACGGAGGAUGCAAGCGUUAUCCGGAAUCAUUGGGCGUAAAGCGUCCGCAGGUGGCUCAUCAAGUCUGCUGUUAAAGACAGAAGCUCAACUUCUGAAUGGCGGUGGAAACUGGUGAGCUAGAGUAUGGUAGGGGUUGAGGGAAUUCCCAGUGUAGCGGUGAAAUGCGUAGAUAUUGGGAAGAACACCAGUGGCGAAGGCGCUCAACUGGGCCAUAACUGACACUCAGGGACGAAAGCUAGGGUAGCGAAAGGGAUUAGAUACCCCUGUAGUCUUAGCUGUAAACGAUGAACACUAGGCGUUGCUUGUAUCGACC